GAUGAACGCUGGCGGCGUGCCUAAUACAUGCAAGUCGAGCGAACAGACGAGGAGCUUGCUCCUCUGACGUUAGCGGCGGACGGGUGAGUAACACGUGGAUAACCUACCUAUAAGACUGGGAUAACUUCGGGAAACCGGAGCUAAUACCGGAUAAUAUAUUGAACCGCAUGGUUCAAUAGUGAAAGACGGUUUUGCUGUCACUUAUAGAUGGAUCCGCGCCGCAUUAGCUAGUUGGUAAGGUAACGGCUUACCAAGGCGACGAUGCGUAGCCGACCUGAGAGGGUGAUCGGUCACACUGGAACUGAGACACGGUCCAGACUCCUACGGGAGGCAGCAGUAGGGAAUCUUCCGCAGUGGGCGAAAGCCUGACGGAGCAACGCCGCGUGAGUGAUGAAGGUCUUCGGAUCGUAAAACUCUGUUAUUAGGGAAGAACAAAUGUGUAAGUAACUAUGCACGUCUUGACGGUACCUAAUCAGAAAGCCACGGCUAACUACGU
Molecule: ribosomal RNA, 496 nt
Filed under: uncultured bacterium
Lineage: Bacteria
Description: partial 16S ribosomal RNA
Rfam family: Bacterial small subunit ribosomal RNA
Source: RNAcentral